CGGGGUGAGUAACGCGUGGGUAACCUGCCUCACACAGGGGAUAACAGUUAGAAAUGACUGCUAAUACCGCAUAACCCGAUAGGAUCGCAUGAUCCAGACGGAAAAGAUUUAUCGGUGUGAGAUGGACCCGCGUCUGAUUAGCUAGUUGGUGAGGUAACGGCCCACCAAGGCAACGAUCAGUAGCCGGCCUGAGAGGGUGAACGGCCACAUUGGGACUGAGACACGGCCCAA
RNAcentral lists this ribosomal RNA (231 nucleotides) under uncultured bacterium. RNAcentral's name for it is "partial 16S ribosomal RNA". It matches the Rfam family "Bacterial small subunit ribosomal RNA", at positions 104 to 334 of the family's 1533-position model. The record is from RNAcentral.